This 497-nucleotide ribosomal RNA is filed under the name uncultured bacterium. RNAcentral describes it as "partial 16S ribosomal RNA". It matches the Rfam family "Bacterial small subunit ribosomal RNA", at positions 28 to 507 of the family's 1533-position model. The record is from RNAcentral.
GAUGAACGCUGGCGGCGUGCCUAAUACAUGCAAGUCGAGCGAACAGACGAGGAGCUUGCUCCUCUGACGUUAGCGGCGGACGGGUGAGUAACACGUGGAUAACCUACCUAUAAGACUGGGAUAACUUCGGGAAACCGGAGCUAAUACCGGAUAAUAUAUUGAACCGCAUGGUUCAAUAGUGAAAGACGGGUUUGCUGUCACUUAUAGAUGGAUCCACGCCGCAUUAGCUAGUUGGUAAGGUAACGGCUUACCAAGGCGACGAUGCGUAGCCGAUCUGAGAGGGUGAUCGGCCACACUGGAACUGAGACACGGUCCAGACUCCUACGGGAGGCAGCAGUAGGGAAUCUUCCGCAAUGGGCGAAAGCCUGACGGAGCAACGCCGCGUGAGUGAUGAAGGUCUUCGGAUCGUAAAACUCUGUUAUUAGGGAAGAACAAAUGUGUAAGUAACUAUGCACGUCUUGACGGUACCUAAUCAGAAAGCCACGGCUAACUACGUG